CCACAUGGUUUUGAUAUCAAAGAUUUUAUCGCUUGAAGAUGGACUCGCGUCCGAUUAGUUAGUUGGUGAGGUAACGGCUCACCAAGACCGCGAUCGGUAGCCGGACUGAGAGGUUGAACGGCCACAUUGGGACUGAGACACGGCCCAGACUCCUACGGGAGGCAGCAGUGGGGGAUAUUGCGCAAUGGGGGCAACCCUGACGCAGCAACGCCGCGUGAAGGAUGAAGGUUUUCGGAUUGUAAACUUCUUUUAUUAAGGACGAAAAAUGACGGUACUUAAUGAAUAAGCUCCGGCUAACUACGUGCCAGCAGCCGCGGUAAUACGUAGGGAGCAAGCGUUGUCCGGAUUUACUGGGUGUAAAGGGUGCGUAGGCGGCUUUGCAAGUCAGAUGUGAAAUCUAUGGGCUCAACCCAUAAACUGCAUUUGAAACUGUAGAGCUUGAGUGAAGUAGAGGCAGGCGGAAUUCCCCGUGUAGCGGUGAAAUGCGUAGAGAUGGGGAGGAACACCAGUGGCGAAGGCGGCCUGCUGGGCUUUAACUGACGCUGAGGCACGAAAGCGUGGGUAGCAAACAGGAUUAGAUACCCUGGUAGUCCACGCUGUAAACGAUGAUUACUAGGUGUGGGGGGUCUGACCCCUUCCGUGCCGGAGUUAACACAAUAAGUAAUCCACCUGGGGAGUAC
Molecule: ribosomal RNA, 680 nt
Filed under: uncultured bacterium
Lineage: Bacteria
Description: bacterial SSU rRNA
Rfam family: Bacterial small subunit ribosomal RNA
Source: RNAcentral